CCCUACGGGGUCAUUACUCCCGUGCGGAACGAGGAGGAAUAUCUCCCGUUGACGGUUGAGUCGAUGGCCGCUCAGAGUUUGCUGCCCCAGCAUUGGAUCAUUGUGGACGACGGCUCCAACGACAGCACCUCCAAACUGGCGCUUGCGGCCGCGCGGGCGCAUUCGUGGAUUUCUGUCGUCCAGCGGCCAGACCGGGGUUUCCGAAAGCCAGGCGGAGGAGUCAUCGAAGCCUUCUACGAAGGCUACCGCUGCGUUCAAGCGCGCGAUUGGCAAUGGGUUAUGAAAUUCGAUGGCGACCUGUCUUUCGACAGUGAUUUCUUCGAGCAGUGCUUGCGCCGCUUUCAGAAGGAUCCCAAGUUGGGAAUUGGCGGGGGAGC
RNAcentral lists this ribosomal RNA (377 nucleotides) under uncultured prokaryote. RNAcentral's name for it is "partial 16S ribosomal RNA". The record is from RNAcentral.